RNAcentral lists this ribosomal RNA (371 nucleotides) under uncultured organism. RNAcentral describes it as "bacterial SSU rRNA". It matches the Rfam family "Bacterial small subunit ribosomal RNA", at positions 526 to 896 of the family's 1533-position model. The record is from RNAcentral.
CGUAGGGUGCGAGCGUUAAUCGGAGUUACUGGGCGUAAAGCGUGCGCAGGCGGUUUAGUAAGACAGGCGUGAAAUCCCCGGGCUCAACCUGGGAACUGCGCUUGUGACUGCUAAGCUAGAGUACGGCAGAGGGGGUGGAAUUCCACGUGUGGCAGUGAAAUGCGUAGAGAUGUGGAGGAACACCAAUGGCGAAGGCAGCCCCCUGGGUCGAUACUGACGCUCAUGCACGAAAGCGUGGGUAGCAAACAGGAUUAGAUACCCUGGUAGUCCACGCCCUAAACGAUGUCAACUAGGUGUUGGGAGGGUAAAACCUUUUAGUACCGGAGCUAACGCGUGAAGUUGACCGCCUGGGGAGUACGGCCGCAAGGUUA